GUGUUGUAUGAAAGGAGAGAAGGUUAGCACUCCCCUUGACAAGGACGGAAGAGGCCCUCGGGCCUGACAACACGCAUACACAAAGACAAAAAACCAAACACCGCAUGUUCUCACUCAU
Small nuclear RNA from Nomascus leucogenys (northern white-cheeked gibbon), 118 nucleotides. NCBI's taxonomy places the organism in Eukaryota, Metazoa, Chordata, Mammalia, Primates, Hylobatidae. The record is from Ensembl.